UGCAGUCGAGCGGGGGAAGGUAGCUUGCUACUGGACCUAGCGGCGGACGGGUGAGUAAUGCUUAGGAAUCUGCCUAUUAGUGGGGGACAACAUCUCGAAAGGGAUGCUAAUACCGCAUACGUCCUACGGGAGAAAGCAGGGGAUCUUCGGACCUUGCGCUAAUAGAUGAGCCUAAGUCGGAUUAGCUAGUUGGUGGGGUAAAGGCCUACCAAGGCGACGAUCUGUAGCGGGUCUGAGAGGAUGAUCCGCCACACUGGGACUGAGACACGGCCCAGACUCCUACGGGAGGCAGCAGUGGGGAAUAUUGGACAAUGGGGGGAACCCUGAUCCAGCCAUGCCGCGUGUGUGAAGAAGGCCUUAUGGUUGUAAAGCACUUUAAGCGAGGAGGAGGCUACUCUAGUUAAUACCUAGGGAUAGUGGACGUUACUCGCAGAAUAAGCACCGGCUAACUCUGUGCCAGCAGCCGCGGUAAUACAGAGGGUGCGAGCGUUAAUCGGAUUUACUGGGCGUAAAGCGUGCGUAGGCGGCUUAUUAAGUCGGAUGUGAAAUCCCCGAGCUUAACUUGGGAAUUGCAUUCGAUACUGGUGAGCUAGAGUAUGGGAGAGGAUGGUAGAAUUCCAGGUGUAGCGGUGAAAUGCGUAGAGAUCUGGAGGAAUACCGAUGGCGAAGGCAGCCAUCUGACCUAAUACUGACGCUGAGGUACGAAAG
RNAcentral lists this ribosomal RNA (708 nucleotides) under Acinetobacter baumannii. Its description in RNAcentral is "bacterial SSU rRNA". It matches the Rfam family "Bacterial small subunit ribosomal RNA", at positions 56 to 759 of the family's 1533-position model. The record is from RNAcentral. Lineage: Bacteria; Pseudomonadati; Pseudomonadota; Gammaproteobacteria; Moraxellales; Moraxellaceae.